Molecule: long non-coding RNA, 1436 nt
Filed under: Equus caballus (horse)
Lineage: Eukaryota; Metazoa; Chordata; Mammalia; Perissodactyla; Equidae
Description: lncRNA (ENSECAG00000043436.2)
Source: RNAcentral
UGGAACCCCAGACAUGAGAGUUGCUCAGGGUUCUCUCUUAAUUGAAGUCAUGAUGACUUCUUUUGACCCGUAAAAUUUUUAGAGGUAGAAGCUGUUGCCAUUAAUUUGAGGCCUUCUUUUCUGUAAUAGACCUGCAGUCUCACACCACAUGAUGAUAUUUCAGUUGAUGAUGGACCACAUAUACGAUGGUGGUUCUAUAAGAUGAGGACACUGAGAUUCUGAGAGGCCAAACAACUUGUCCAGGGUCACCCAGCAAACACAAGCAGAAAUAGAACCUGGAUUGAGGUUUGUCACAAGCCUGGAGUAGAGCAGAGCCUCCUUACCUUUGAAGUCGUGGACCAACCCCUUGAGUGUCUUCUUCCAGAUGCCAUUUAUACAUUCCUCGGUGAGAUCACCCCAAGCCCAAGCAAGUGUUCGGUGCACCUUACAGUUAAUUCCUUUGUCCAUCCCUCCAUCCACUUGCCCUCAAUCCAUCCUUCCAGCCAUCGAACAAGUGCUCAGUUUCCAAGCCAGUCCUCUCUGCCAGGAGCUGGCGACUCAGAGCCACUGAGGAGCAGCUGGAGAUUCUUGCAGCAUAGCCUGGUAGACAGAAGCAAACAAGAGUCGACCGCACAGCAAUUAAUUAGUGCUAAUUACCGCACAAAGCUACUUUCUGAAAAUAAAUUAUAAGGUCACCAUCCUAUGGAAGAUUUGACAAUGACCAGGCCUCUCUCUUCUAGUGGGGCCAGAUGGAUGAACCCUAAUUUACACAAAAAGGUUGGGAUGGACCUUUUCAGUCUUGAAGGUUGGGAAGAGGAGAGGAUAUAUGAACUUCUAUUUCCCGUGACCAUUCGAGAAGCUAUGUUAGCGAGCAGGCCAUUGGGCACGUCAGGAUCAACACAGAAAGCAAAGUCAGAUCACAAGACCCCUGAGUGACUGGGAUGCAGCCUGCUAGACUGGACACACCCCCCACCUGCUGAGCUCUCUGGAGGUGCCGAGAGCCAAAGUACACACCAACGUCCAACAGUAUCUGCAUUAUGGUAGAAUGCCACUUGAAGCAAAUGUGUCCAUCGGAGUGAAUGACAGUCACCACCAGCAAUCCCAUCCUUCCAGUCAGUCUUGGAAGCCUUCUUAGAGCCGAGAAGUACCUAAAAACCAUGACUUAGCAAAGACUUAGAAAUUGUCCUUCCAUAGCAUUUAACAACCCAAAUAGCUUGUGCCAUUUAUUUGCUUUCUUAAUACAGGGACUCUUUAGUUCCCAACAGCUAACUGCUAGGAAUAGAUUGUGAUGUAGAGCUCUACCAUUAAUCCUGAAAGAAAUUAGCUAAACUUCCGAGUGAGAAGACUCAUGUGUCUGUUUCCUCAGCUCCCUAAAUAUGUCUUCAACUAUCACACACUAUAACUAUGAAAUAUGACUUCCUAACAGUCAAGCGCAUGACGGGAAAAGAGACGCUUCC